GCGACGUUCAACCGCAAAAGAAGCAGAGGGGGCUUAGUGGUGGGGUGACUGCGUACCUUUUGUAUAAUGGGUCAGCGACUUAUAUUCUGUAGCAAGGUUAACCGAAUAGGGGAGCCGGAGGGAAACCGAGUCUUAAUUGGGCGUUAAGUUGCAGGGUAUAGACCCGAAACCCGGUGAUCUAGCCAUGGGCAGGUUGAAGGUUGGGUAACACUAACUGGAGGACCGAACCGACUAAUGUUGAAAAAUUAGCGGAUGACCUGUGGCUGGGGGUGAAAGGCCAAUCAAACCGGGAGAUAGCUGGUUCUCCCCGAAAGCUAUUUAGGUAGCGCCUCGUGAAUUCAUCUCCGGGGGUAGAGCACUGUUUCGGCUAGGGGGCCAUCCCGGCUUACCAACCCGAUGCAAACUGCGAAUACCGGAGAAUGUUAUCACGGGAGACACACGGCGGGUGCUAACGUCCGUCGUGAAGAGGGAAACAACCCAGACCGCCAGCUAAGGUCCCAAAGUCAUGGUUAAGUGGGAAACGAUGUGGGAAGGCCCAGACAGCCAGGAUGUUGGCUUAGAAGCAGCCAUCAUUUAAAGAAAGCGUAAUAGCUCACUGGUCGAGUCGGCCUGCGCGGAAGAUGUAACGGGGCUAAACCAU
Molecule: ribosomal RNA, 640 nt
Filed under: Salmonella enterica subsp. enterica serovar Dublin
Lineage: Bacteria; Pseudomonadati; Pseudomonadota; Gammaproteobacteria; Enterobacterales; Enterobacteriaceae
Description: partial 23S ribosomal RNA
Rfam family: Bacterial large subunit ribosomal RNA
Source: RNAcentral